GGGUUGUGAGGUUAAGCGACUAAGCGUACACGGUGGAUGCCUAGGCAAUCAGAGGCGAUGAAGGACGUGCUAAUCUGCGAAAAGCGUCGGUAAGGUGAUAUGAACCGUUAUAACCGACGAUAUC
This 124-nucleotide ribosomal RNA is filed under the name Providencia stuartii. RNAcentral's name for it is "partial 23S ribosomal RNA". It matches the Rfam family "Bacterial large subunit ribosomal RNA", at positions 1 to 114 of the family's 2925-position model. The record is from RNAcentral. Lineage: Bacteria; Pseudomonadati; Pseudomonadota; Gammaproteobacteria; Enterobacterales; Morganellaceae.